GAUGAACGCUGGCGGCGUGCCUAAUACAUGCAAGUCGAGCGAACGGACGAGAAGCUUGCUUCUCUGAUGUUAGCGGCGGACGGGUGAGUAACACGUGGAUAACCUACCUAUAAGACUGGGAUAACUUCGGGAAACCGGAGCUAAUACCGGAUAAUAUUUUGAACCGCAUGGUUCAAAAGUGAAAGACGGUCUUGCUGUCACUUAUAGAUGGAUCCGCGCUGCAUUAGCUAGUUGGUAAGGUAACGGCUUACCAAGGCAACGAUGCAUAGCCGACCUGAGAGGGUGAUCGGCCACACUGGAACUGAGACACGGUCCAGACUCCUACGGGAGGCAGCAGUAGGGAAUCUUCCGCAAAGGGCGAAAGCCUGACGGAGCAACGCCGCGUGAGUGAUGAAGGUCUUCGGAUCGUAAAACUCUGUUAGUAGGGAAGAACAUAUGUGUAAGUAACUGUGCACAUCUUGACGGUACCUAAUCAGAAAGCCACGGCUAACUACGUG
This 497-nucleotide ribosomal RNA is filed under the name uncultured bacterium. RNAcentral's name for it is "partial 16S ribosomal RNA". It matches the Rfam family "Bacterial small subunit ribosomal RNA", at positions 28 to 507 of the family's 1533-position model. The record is from RNAcentral.